UGUAGAUCCUGAGUGAUCGCGGUCUGCAUCUGCAGGCUGAGGAAAGUCCAUGCCCGCACAAGCUGCGAUGCUUGUAGUGUUCGUGCUAAGCCCAAUAAGCUUAGGGACCGUGAGAACGGUUACGGCGGCCAACCACGCUAAGACUUCGGUUAUGCGUCAGUAGGUCUGAAAAGUGCCACAGUGACGAAACGUUCAGGGAAACCUGAACGGUGGAACGGGUAAACCCCGCGAGCGAGUAACCCAAACUUUUGGUAGGGGCGUUUUGCCAAGCAAACUGAAGCAACGGCAAUACAGCGGCAACGCUGAGAUAGAUGAUGACUGAAGGAACCCGCGCCUGAACAGGUUCUGGAACAAAACAUGGCUUAUAGGGAUCUACAUGCA
This 381-nucleotide RNase P RNA is filed under the name Lacticaseibacillus rhamnosus. RNAcentral's name for it is "Lactobacillus rhamnosus bacterial RNase P". It matches the Rfam family "Bacterial RNase P class B". From Rfam's summary of the family: Ribonuclease P (RNase P) is a ubiquitous endoribonuclease, found in archaea, bacteria and eukarya as well as chloroplasts and mitochondria. RNAcentral also lists the same sequence under 2 other names. The record is from RNAcentral. Lineage: Bacteria; Bacillati; Bacillota; Bacilli; Lactobacillales; Lactobacillaceae.